This is a long non-coding RNA of Nothoprocta perdicaria, 877 nucleotides long. RefSeq lists it as uncharacterized. The transcript has 3 exons. The record is from RefSeq and is a predicted model, not a curated record. Lineage: Eukaryota; Metazoa; Chordata; Aves; Tinamiformes; Tinamidae.
UUCCAGAAUUAAAUGCUGGGAUUUAAAAUCUGACUUGUGCAUUUACAGUGACAGUAACUUUUGAAUAUACAGAGACGCAGUCUGUGUUUGCAAACAGGACAAAACCACAGAGGAUUAAGACUGGCUUGGCAGCUGUAUAAAAACAUCAAAACGAGAGAUGUCCCUUGCAUACCCAUCUCCAUUGACCUCCAGAUCUGACAUGUAGAGCCUGGAGACUGCCCACUUUUCUGGGAGAAGAAUGUGCUUCGAAAUCAUCUAUGAGUCAGCCUGCGAGUUGGAGUUCAGAUAAGCCUGUAGCGUUUGUUCACCAGAUGGACUCUAAGCUCUUCAGAGUACAGGAAAGGAUAUUGCUUAUUAACAUUGCUUGAAACUUCAUUUAUUUYCUUGUACAAAGUCUGAUUACUGCAUUCAAUUUUAGACUAUCUGUUGUAAGGAGGAAGGACAGAGUAUUUUUAUAGCAURAUAGGUACAGUUUAGUAAAAAUUUUACUGGAAUAGACUUUUUCAUAUAAUUCUAGGUAGCCAAGAUUGAUACCUACCACCCCUCAGAUACACCCUUUAGAUUAUCUAUGCAAAGGGUUAAAAGCCAAUUUUCUUUCAGGAUUUUACAGCAAAUUAGCCAACUUAUAUUAGGUUUAAAACACCUCUUUGACAGUUAAGUGCAACAAUAAUAAUGCUUUUCUAUUAAAUAUCAAAUUGUUUUUUUCUCUCGUAUACUUGGGCUAGCUGCUAAUAGUCUCACAUAACAUGGACAUCAGAGAUUUUCAGACAAGUAAUUCUCCCUUGUGUUGCCAGAUUAAAUCUUUCUUGAUGCAACACAGAUCACUCAAGCUGCCAUCAUUCAUGAACGUGAUAAUCAGAAAAAAUCAAUUUUAUGG